RNAcentral lists this ribosomal RNA (646 nucleotides) under uncultured bacterium. RNAcentral's name for it is "bacterial SSU rRNA". It matches the Rfam family "Bacterial small subunit ribosomal RNA", at positions 76 to 738 of the family's 1533-position model. The record is from RNAcentral.
UUUGUAACAAUGGCUUUAGUGGCGGACUGGUGAGUAACACGUAAGCAAUCUACCUAUUAGAGGGGAAUAACAAUGAGAAAUCAUUGCUAAUACCGCAUAAGCUUGUAGUACCGCAUGGUACAGCAAGAAAAGGAGCAAUCCGCUAAUAGAUGAGCUUGCGGCUGAUUAGCUAGUUGGUGUGGUAACGGCAUACCAAGGCAACGAUCAGUAGCCGGGCUGAGAGGCUCUUCGGCCACAUUGGGACUGAGAUACGGCCCAGACUCCUACGGGAGGCAGCAGUCGGGAAUUUUGCGCAAUGGAGGAAACUCUGACGCAGUGACGCCGCGUAUAGGAAGAAGGUUUUCGGAUUGUAAACUAUUUUAGUCAGGGAAGAAAAAUGACAGUACCUGAAGAAUAAGCUCCGGCUAACUACGUGCCAGCAGCCGCGGUAAUACGUAGGGAGCAAGCGUUAUCCGGAUUUAUUGGGUGUAAAGGGUGCGUAGACGGGAAGACAAGUUGGUUGUGAAAGCCCUCGGCUCAACUGAGGAACUGCAACCAAAACUAUCAUUCUUGAGUGCGGGAGAGGAAAGUGGAAUUCCUAGUGUAGCGGUGAAAUGCGUAGAUAUUAGGAGGAACACCAGUGGCGAAGGCGACUUUCUGGACCGUA